Molecule: RNA transcript, 913 nt
Organism: Gossypium arboreum
Lineage: Eukaryota; Viridiplantae; Streptophyta; Magnoliopsida; Malvales; Malvaceae
Exons: 3
Source: RefSeq, a predicted model, not a curated record
CUCGUUUUUCAUGGCCAGUAACCAUUUAAGUGAAAUGGUGCGGUUUGGAGAACACCUGGAGUAAUAAGUGUUAGGUUGUUUUCAAGCUGUUAUUCUACAACUUUAGGGCACUAAUCAGGAAAGGAGGGUGGUUAAGUAACAGUCUUUUUCUCUCUAAUUCUCUCCAUCUCUCUCUUUGUUUCUUCUACAGAUUUUCUAUUCUUUUCGUUACAAGGUAUCAAAGCCACUAUUUCCUCAAGGCCAACGAAGGCGUCACCACCAGACUUCAGAAGGAAAUGGGACAGAUGCAACAAGAGCUACCUCAAUUGCAGUUGGAGGUUUCUCAAAUUGACACCAGGAUUGACUCGCGUUUGAAGGACUUCCAUGACAAUAUCAAAGAUGAGUGAUCCAAAGUGAGAUGGUUCAACUCAAAGUUCACAAAAUUCUUCCCCAAGUAGAGAUGAUCAAAAAACAACUAAGCAAAAUGUUCGAAAAAAGAUUACUCCAAUGGCAGCUUGUUGGAACCAUUUUACCAAAUUUGUGACUAAAGAGGAGGAGAAGAGAGCAAGGUGCAAUGCAUGUGAUGUUACUUACGCCAUGAAAUCAACUUUGGGUUCUACAACAAAUUUGAAUAACCAUUUGAAAACAUGCCUAAAAAGACCUUGAGAUAUUUCAAGAUUAUCAACGGUGUUUGAAGCACAAGAAGAAACUUAAACUAUUCUAUAAUGGUUUUUGAAGUGAUGUGUUAUUGUUAUUAGUUUGGUUUGAUUUGUUAUUGUUGUUGGUUAAUUGGACUUUUGUUGUUUUUUUUUUGGAUUGGUAUAGAUUUCUAUUGUAUUUGGACUUUUGCUUAUGUUUUUCUUUAAUUAUAAUGUUGUUGUUUUCUUUGACUCAUGUUGUUUACUUGGACUUUUACUUAUGUUUUUUAUUAUAA